UCCUAUCUCUUGCAGUUAUUUUUAAUGCUAAUACCAUAAACUCCCAAUAUUGGUAGUAGCAUUUUCGAGAAUCAAUGUUUGUAUCUGAUUCAUCAUCGAUAGAGAUAUGCCAGAAGCGAGUUCAAAAUUUAUCUAACGAACGAUAUGUCUUAUUUUUCCUUUGAGAUACGGAGUCACUCGAAGAUUUAUUAUUAAGUUUCUCAUUCAAUUUAAUCUGCUGCGACCUAUGGCCCAAGAGAUAAAAUUAUACCGUCAACGUAAUGAAAGAAAUAGGCAGGGAUGUCAGUGGUAGGUGACUCUGGAAAUAAGUGAAAGAUGUUUGCAUUCGUUGGGGAAUUAUUCUCAAGAAUUUUGUUCUGAAUGGGUCUCCAACAUCCGGAAAAUGGAUCACAUAAACAAUGAUCUGUCCUGUUACUAAGUACUAGUGCCGCAGGAGUACAUUGGACCUCCUGCUGCUCAAGUGCUUAUCAAUGGGAACAGUUUAUCCCACAACGAACCCCAGUAGAGCAGAUUCAAUCCCCACAAAACCCGAUUUUUUACCGAAAUGCAGGAAUACUGUACUGGAAAAUAUUCAUCGAACUGGUUUCGAUGAAAAAAUUGAAAUUUGUUUUGAUUUUCUUUUGUUUCUAUGUGUUUUUCUUCAUCAGGUUAAAUUCUUGAAUAAAUACAAAGACUUACAA
This is a long non-coding RNA of Coccinella septempunctata (seven-spotted ladybird), 680 nucleotides long. RefSeq lists it as uncharacterized. NCBI's taxonomy places the organism in Eukaryota, Metazoa, Arthropoda, Insecta, Coleoptera, Coccinellidae. The record is from RefSeq and is a predicted model, not a curated record. The transcript has 2 exons.